Molecule: long non-coding RNA, 343 nt
Filed under: Trifolium pratense (red clover)
Lineage: Eukaryota; Viridiplantae; Streptophyta; Magnoliopsida; Fabales; Fabaceae
Description: long non-coding RNA (TPRA_LNC010166)
Source: RNAcentral
UUUAAGUACCAUUUACUUACACUUAUAUUUUGAGUAUGUUGUCUAACUCUCUUUUAUGUGUUAUGUGCUGGACCGUUGGGGGUCCAGAUUUUACAGGAUUUUGUGGUAUUCGAUGUCGAGUCGUCGGUGAAGCUCCGCUCUGAUUGUGACACGGGAAAGGGUUGUAUUUAGACUAUAGGGUCUUUAUGACUUUCGAAAUUUAUUUGUAAAACCAUACAUUUUGAUAAAUGAUUAUUUUGUAUAAACACUGUUUUUACUAAUUAAUUACAUUAGUAUUAUUUUGGUAGAGGAGUGUAAUACUCGAACCGAUAUUCAAUAAAUUAAAUGUGAUUUUCCGUUGCGU